This 253-nucleotide ribosomal RNA is filed under the name uncultured bacterium. RNAcentral describes it as "partial 16S ribosomal RNA". It matches the Rfam family "Bacterial small subunit ribosomal RNA", at positions 524 to 776 of the family's 1533-position model. The record is from RNAcentral.
UACGUAGGGACCAAGCGUUGUUCGGAUUUACUGGGCGUAAAGGGAGCGUAGGCGGCGUGUCAAGUCAGUUGUGAAAUCUCCGAGCUUAACUCGGAACGGUCAACUGAUACUGUCACGCUAGAGUGCAGAAGGGGCAAUCGGAAUUCUUGGUGUAGCGGUGAAAUGCGUAGAUAUCAAGAGGAACACCUGAGGUGAAGACGGGUUGCUGGGCUGACACUGACGCUGAGGCUCGAAAGCUAGGGUAGCAAACGGG